Molecule: long non-coding RNA, 652 nt
Filed under: Rattus norvegicus (Norway rat)
Lineage: Eukaryota; Metazoa; Chordata; Mammalia; Rodentia; Muridae
Description: long non-coding RNA NONRATT007257
Source: RNAcentral
AAAGGGCUUCCCCAGCCACACUGGAGAUAAAGAAAUCAGCUUUGGAGCCUAUGGAAGUUGAUUAGCCAGAAAAAAGGAAAGAAAGGAAGAAAGAAAAUGGUUCCUCCUGAGUUUUUAAGGUAGGAAGAAAAAUGGAAAUCUAUAAAGACAGCCAUACCUAGGUGCACUGUGCCUGUUCACCAAAGCCAGCAUUGGAUGGUAAGAGUCUUGACAGUGACAUUAAAACCCUUUGCCAUUCAAGGCCAAGCAGUUGGAACUAAGGAAGAGCGAACAUUUCUCCUAGUGUUUGGGACUCGCCCUGUGUGACUAGGGAGCUGAAGCCUCAGGCAAGUCUAAGCUAGCCCGAGGCGGAUCCUUAGGAGACAGAUCUGGUCGAACCCCGUUGCACAGGUCUUCGAGCAGUGAAGGGGGGGGGGGCAGCUCAGUGAAGGGAGAGGGCACCUCUGACCCACAGUGGUAGGAACUGUACGUGUAUGUGUGUAUCUGUAUGUUUUGUGCAUAACUAUUUAAAGAAACUGGAAUUUUGAAGUUACUUUUAUAUGAGUCAAGAUUAUUUGCUACAGACCUGAGACAUGAUCUGGCCACACCUUUCUAGUCAUGAUGAAUGUAUUUCAUAUAUUAUCUUCAUUUAAUAAAAUUAACUUUCAAAACC